Non-coding RNA from Ictidomys tridecemlineatus (thirteen-lined ground squirrel), 621 nucleotides. The record is from RefSeq and is a predicted model, not a curated record. Lineage: Eukaryota; Metazoa; Chordata; Mammalia; Rodentia; Sciuridae.
UGAAGCCACAGGAAUUGAAAACAUAUCAUCAGCAGGAAGCCUGGACUAACGAGAUCUUGGCCUUUAUUCCCAGCCACAGCAACCUGUGUCUCAGGUGUCAGACUCUGAGCCGGACACCCAGUGACAAGAUGCCCCAUUUUACAGUUGAGGAAACAGAGUCUCCGUGGAAGGGAAGAACAUAACAUAGGGAGAGAUUUCUUCUACAUAUUCAGGCAAGCAAACCCAAGAAUCUUCUUUGUGGUGGAGUUAAAUAUAUAUAAAACAAAGAUCGCUCCUCCCCUACCUCUGCAGAACGUGUGGAUGUAUGUGUGUGUGUAAGGGUGUGCAGCCACAGGCCUUUCCGGAUGAGUGGCAGAGAGAGCCCAUCCCUCCAGGAGACGCGUGCAGAAUGACCAAUGGGAUGCAUGGGGGUGGAUGGGUACCAGUCUCUCUGCAGAGGCCAGGGUGGAAUCUGCUGGGCCCUCGGCUCCCCUUCUCCCCCUCCUAAUCCCCCAAGGUCCUUCCGCUGUCGUUACUCCCCAGGGCGGAGGCACUGAGGUGCUCAUCUCCUUAAAGCAAACCAGGACCUCAGGACCGAAGACUGGGUAGGGGGCGAGGCUCGGGGCGAGGCUCGGAGCAGGC